AUUGAACGCUGGCGGCAUGCCUAACACAUGCAAGUCGAACGGCAGCAUGAAUAGGGGUAACCUUAUUUGAUGGCGAGUGGCGGACGGGUGAGUAAUAUGUAGGAAUCUACCUAGAGGAGGGGGAUAACUUGGGGAAACCCAAGCUAAUACCACAUAAGCCCUACGGGGGAAAGCAGGGGACCGCAAGGCCUUGCGCCUUAUGAUGAGCCUACAUCGGAUUAGCUAGUUGGUGGGGUAAAGGCCUACCAAGGCGACGAUCCGUAGCUGGUCUGAGAGGAUGAUCAGCCACACUGGGACUGAGACACGGCCCAGACUCCUACGGGAGGCAGCAGUGGGGAAUAUUGGACAAUGGGCGAAAGCCUGAUCCAGCAAUGCCGCGUGUGUGAAGAAGGCCUUAGGGUUGUAAAGCACUUUCAGUAGGGAGGAAGGGGUUAAUGCUAAUACCAUUAAUCAUUGACGUUACCUACAGAAGAAGCACCGGCUAACUCUGUGCCAGCCGCCGCCGUAAAAC
RNAcentral lists this ribosomal RNA (511 nucleotides) under uncultured bacterium. RNAcentral describes it as "bacterial SSU rRNA". It matches the Rfam family "Bacterial small subunit ribosomal RNA", at positions 30 to 526 of the family's 1533-position model. The record is from RNAcentral.